ACAGGUAGUGUAUAAUCCUAUAGGAACCCAAUCCUAUAGGCCGUAAAUGAUUGAAACAGGUGACUUCGAUGUGUGGCUGUAAUGAACGAGCUAAGUUAUAUUCAUUCAGCUCAGUUAGUACUGUGGGUUGAGCCUGUAAGUACACUCGCGUGCUGAUGUUCUCUUGUCCUCUUCUCUUCGAUUCGAGUGUUUGUUAUUUGCUUAGUGGGACAGGCCGUGCGGUGUUUGUGGAUUUGAUGCAGUGGAAUAGCGAAGGAGAAGGCUAAAGGAAUUCUUUCAUGACGUAAUCCUGGCCUACGGCUUACAGAAGAGAAUACUCACGAUUUGCGGUUGUCGUCUUACAGGAGAACGAUUUUGUUCUUCUGCCUACAACUUUAAUGCUGUGACUUCAUUUGUGGUAAUGUAAAGUUGUUUGUGUGCACCUAGCUAUUAAGCUGUGCUGAAGAAUUCAGAUAUACCAAUAUUAACGUCGUCACUGGAAGGUGGUAAAUGCUAGCUUCACGCUCUGGCCUCUGUAUCCUCGAGGGAGUUGGUGGAUCCCACAGCUGAUCUGAACUAGUUGGCGAAGGGAACCUGUCAUCAGACACUUUACAGACUGAGUACUGUUGCUGGACCGAAAUAUCUACGCUGAGAACCGAAGUAUAGGCCUAUUGUAAACUGUUAAUGAGACCAUUCUGAGGUCUGCAAGAAACACCACGGAAGGAAACAAAUAUUGGAAACAGCUGAAACGAGUGUAUUAAGAGAGGCAGUGGGGGAGAAGAAGGUCUCGCCAUGUGAGAAGCCCAGACAUCAAAUCGAAAUCUAUGAAACAGGAGAAUGGUUGAAGAUUAAGAAGGUGUGUUGCUCCAGGACGAUGGUACCUACCUACAAGUCCAUAUAGCAUCACAUUACCAAAGUCUAAAUAUUUUCCGUGAGGACCUCAAAUCUCACUCUUGAUCUUAAGUUAGGCUACGCUUAAACAGGAUACUUAGUAGAGUGAGACAGAAGCAGGGAAAAACACAUGGAAGGUCUCCCGUUGAUGACUUUCUGAAUUUGGGAUUAGGUAAGAAAGGAGAGAGGAAGGCUUUCUUCUUCACACGGUGUUGUCUGUCGUAUUUUUACACGGAUUGACUCUAACAGGGCUACACUGGGUGCAGCUCUGAACUAUCUUGAACCUUCUAGUAUCCCAUUUCACCACAGAGAGAUUGAAUGCUGUUUUACCAGGAAAUGGUGGAAUUAUUAUCUGUGUUACACACGUGUUUCGUAUAGUUUACGAUCUGGGAACAAAUUGCUGUGCUCGUAUUAAUAAAGCUUUCUCUUUUUACCGCUCUUUAUCAACUGAAUGUUAUAUGUCAGAGAUGCUGACACGAACUCUUGAUUGUGUUAACACAGAGGCCAAACCCAUAUUUUUAUCCUUAAUAAAGAUGUGACUUUCCUACUGUCAACAUUUAUGUUAUAAUAUUAAGUUGUUUCGUUUCUAUUGGCUAGUUGGCCC
Molecule: non-coding RNA, 1474 nt
Organism: Zootermopsis nevadensis
Lineage: Eukaryota; Metazoa; Arthropoda; Insecta; Blattodea; Termopsidae
Source: RefSeq, a predicted model, not a curated record